Molecule: ribosomal RNA, 301 nt
Filed under: uncultured bacterium
Lineage: Bacteria
Description: partial 16S ribosomal RNA
Rfam family: Bacterial small subunit ribosomal RNA
Source: RNAcentral
CAGCAGCCGCGGUAAUACAGAGGGUGCGAGCGUUAAUCGGAUUUACUGGGCGUAAAGCGUGCGUAGGCGGCUUCUUAAGUCGGAUGUGAAAUCCCUGAGCUUAACUUAGGAAUUGCAUUCGAUACUGGGAAGCUAGAGUAUGGGAGAGGAUGGUAGAAUUCCAGGUGUAGCGGUGAAAUGCGUAGAGAUCUGGAGGAAUACCGAUGGCGAAGGCAGCCAUCUGGCCUAAUACUGACGCUGAGGUACGAAAGCAUGGGGAGCAAACAGGAUUAGAUACCCGAGUAGUCCCUGUCUCUUAUCC